This is a long non-coding RNA of Alexandromys fortis (reed vole), 1939 nucleotides long. RefSeq lists it as uncharacterized. The transcript has 3 exons. NCBI's taxonomy places the organism in Eukaryota, Metazoa, Chordata, Mammalia, Rodentia, Cricetidae. The record is from RefSeq and is a predicted model, not a curated record.
CCUAUGUACUUGGACUGUUGAUUAAAUUGGUAAUAGGUCUUACUUCUGGGUACAAAUGGUGUGGUCCUAUUUUGAUCUUCUGAUUCCUGUGGGCUUCCCGUGUCUUUUUAAGGUUUCCUGGCAGCUCUCUGCAUAUACCAUGUGAGGCAUCCCAAAGCAAAUUAUAAAGGGGGAAAAUAAUUCUACCACCUCCUCCAAUCUCAGCUUAAUUCCUGCAGAAAAGUUCUUUCAGAACAGUUGUUUCUAUAUAGCUCUCUGCAGUAUCCUUGGAAUUAUAAAAAUCAAAGAGUGAGGUCUGAGAACAUAUUCUGUAUCCUAUGUACAAAAGCAUGAAAAUAAGUUCUGGGAAGCAUCGUUACGCUGUGGCCAGUCACAGUUUUCUUUAAAUAGAAGCCUUCCGUCACACUUGGACUAACUGUAAAGACUCGGGCUUUUGUAGUUUCACCCACUGAGAAACUUUGAAUAAAAUGUUUUUUUUUUUUUCUCUCUCGCCCCCACCAUUGAGUAGACACACUCAAGUGUACUAAAGCAGAAAGUCAAGUUUGGGAACAUAUGCUGUUUACAAGUGUGUGAAUGUACUGAAUUUUAGCGAACAUGUGUUUAUAAUUUCCAGAAUGUGGUGUGUAUCUUUAUUUUAUUAUUUCUCCCAAAGUAUUCCAAAUUUAUAAUAGUGAAUGUACAUCUAAUUUUAAAUUUUUAUUGUCCAUUCCAAUAAGAUAUCUUUAGUAACUAAAAAGGCUUAGAAAUUUUCUGCUUUCAGAAUAAGGCUGCUCCACUGAAGUAAAAGUUAUGUCUAAGAGCUGAGUAGAAUUGAGGUCCUUUCCUUUCUUCUUGCCAUAUGCCUCCAGCUAUUUCCCACAACAGGAAUGAGAGCUUGUGUGUUGAUAAUCUUGUCUCUCCAAGGGACAUUUUUAGUUCUCUGAUCUUAAUUUUCUAGUGUCAGAGAAACAAUGGAAUGCCCCCAAAUGUUUCCUGGAUAGAGUGAGAUAAUUAUGAUUACUGAAAAGAUAUCUCACAGUUAAUUUUUUCAUUUGAAAUGCAGCAGAUAAUGUAUGCUUUUGUGGGACGCCAAAAUCAGGCUUAUUUUCUAAAAAUUUCAAUCAUUCAUUUCCUAGUUCAUUGACCAUAAUUCAUGUGGUAGCAUGCAGAGUUGAUAAUUUGAAACUAUUUCCAAAUGAAUAUUUAGAUCAACAAACUCCUGCUUCAGUCAACAUUUUGUUACUUACAAAGCAAAACAGAUAUAUUUUGAAAUGUUAUUGCUAAAAUUGUCAAUUUUUUUUUGCUAGAUAAUAAAAGCUAAAAGUAGACUGAUACAUAAUAGAAUUUUUCAAACUUUCUCCAGAAGGAUAACAGGUCUGUGGAUUUCAUUAUGGCUUUGUUUGGUUGAAUAUGAGAUGUGGGGAGAAAUGAAUUGGACUGUAUUUGUGUUUUAAGCAAUGUUGUGGGAGUCCUCUCUUGUCAGGUGACUAAUUUGACCUGCUGCUCAAAAUUUCUUCCUUUGAACAAUGGGAAGAAAUACAAAGCAACACUCAGAAAUACGGUUUCAAGAAGAAGAUGAGGACCACAAGUUAUGGUUCUUUCUACUGGUGACUUUCGGAGAAAAUACCUUUCAACUGAAAUACUGCAGUUAAAAAAAUCCUGAGGUCAUUUGAAAAUUUUCUGGGAGCAACAAAGUCCACAGCGACUUAAAACUAUCAGUCCCAGGGCAGAGGGCAGAGGCCAAAGGCGGCACAGGUUCCUGCCCAGCUGGGCUUCAUAAGAGAAGCAAACCAUCCCGUAUUGGCUGUAGGAGAACCUACAAGAAAGAAACAAGCAGAGGCAUAGAACUCAUGGCCCAUUUUGAAAGGUACUCAGGCUUUUCUUCGACCUGAUCAUUGUACAUCUUUCCUGCUUUGCCACAUUUUGCCUUUAACCAAAUAAAAGUAGAACAAUCCUUGGG